AUGUGGGUGGCAGGGGGCGGUCCUCUCAUGCCCAGGCCCUGUCUCACUGGCUAGGGCAGAGCCCAAGGCCAGGAUAAAAGGGCCCGUGGACCAGAGCAUCAGCAUUCACUCCCUCCUGAGGCAGUGACCGAUCCUGUGCUGCUUGUGUGCCCGCUUCUGAACGCCCGCCCACCUGCCCACCAGCCCAGAUGUCCUGCCAGCAGAGCCAGCAGUGCGUCCCCAAGUGCCCUCCCAAGUGCUGCACCCCCAAGUGCCCUCCCAAGUGCUGCACCCCAAAAUGCCCUCCUAAGUGUCCCCCCAAGUGCCCUCCAGUCUCCUCCUGCUGCAGUGUCAGCUCUGGGGGCUGCUGUGGCUCUGGGGGCGGGGGCUGCUGUAGCUCUGGGGGUGGGGGCUGCUGUAGCUCUGGGGGUGGUGGCUGCUGCCUGAGCCACCACAGGUCCCACAGGCCUCGCCUCUUCAGACACAGAAGCUCUGGGGGUGGAGGCUGCUGUAGCUCAGGGGGCUCCAGCUGCUGUGGAGGGAGCUCUGGAGGCUCCAGCUGCUGUGGAGGGAGCUCUGGAGGGGGCUCCAGCUGCUGCGGAGGGGGCUCCAGCUCUGGAGGGGGCUGUGGUCAGUCCUCUGGAGGCUGCUGCUGAAGUGGACUUUGAGCCAAGAAGAGCUGAAUGGCGGGCUACCAAUGGCCAGUCCCCUCCACCUCCUCCUGCUCCUCCUGCUGGACCUUCCCCGCUGCUGAGAGGUCUGGGUGAGGCCUCUGAGUUCUGGUGCAGAGGAUCCCUAUGCCCAGGUGUCCUGGAGCCCAAAUCUCUUUCCCAAACCCACUUCCCGACUUCUUUCCCUGUAUGCCAUUAUGUGUGGCUGCCCUGGGAACUCCUGCACAGCUAUGUGUGUGCACACACCAGCCUGAUGUGAAACAAUAAAAGGAUGAUUCUGCA
This is a long non-coding RNA of Pipistrellus kuhlii (Kuhl's pipistrelle), 932 nucleotides long. RefSeq lists it as uncharacterized. NCBI's taxonomy places the organism in Eukaryota, Metazoa, Chordata, Mammalia, Chiroptera, Vespertilionidae. The transcript has 2 exons. The record is from RefSeq and is a predicted model, not a curated record.